RNAcentral lists this non-coding RNA (32 nucleotides) under Rattus norvegicus (Norway rat). Lineage: Eukaryota; Metazoa; Chordata; Mammalia; Rodentia; Muridae. The record is from RNAcentral.
UGGCCUCGGAUUAUACUAUCCCAACAAGGUGU